This 571-nucleotide ribosomal RNA is filed under the name uncultured Poribacteria bacterium. Its description in RNAcentral is "bacterial SSU rRNA". It matches the Rfam family "Bacterial small subunit ribosomal RNA", at positions 46 to 605 of the family's 1533-position model. The record is from RNAcentral. Lineage: Bacteria; Candidatus Poribacteria.
GGAUUAGGCAUGCAAGUCGAACGAGAAGCCGAGCUUCGGCUCGGGUGGAAAGUGGCGAAAGGGUGAGUAACGCGUGGGUAAUUUACCUCUGAGAUGGGGAUAACGGUUCGAAAGGGCCGCUAAUACCAAAUACGAUUCGGUUGACUUCGGUCUGCCGAAUGAAAGGUGGCUUCGGCUGCCGCUCGGAGAUGAGCCCGCGUCCUAUUAGCUUGUUGGUGAGGUAACGGCUCACCAAGGCAACGAUGGGUAGCUGGUCUGAGAGGAUGGUCAGCCACAUUGGGACUGAGACACUGCCCAAACUCCUACGGGAGGCUGCAGUCGAGAAUAUUUCGCAAUGGGGGAAACCUGACGAUGCGACGCCGCGUGGGGGAUGAAGGCCUUCGGGUUGUAAACUCUGUGUUAUGGGAUGAAUUGGUCGUUGCCGAUAAAGCAACGUUUUUGACGUUACCAUAGUAGAAAGCCCCAGCUAACUACGUGCCAGCAGCUGCGGUAAUACGUAGGGAGCAAGCAUUGUCCGGAAUCACUGGGCGUAAAGCGCGCGCAGGCGGUAGAGUANAACGUAAAAUCMUAC